Molecule: non-coding RNA, 104 nt
Organism: Ornithorhynchus anatinus (platypus)
Lineage: Eukaryota; Metazoa; Chordata; Mammalia; Monotremata; Ornithorhynchidae
Source: RefSeq, marked provisional
UUGACACUGACUUGCUCUUUGGCCAAUGAUUGUGGCUGCACCUGAUUCAUUUUGGUGCAGCAACAGCCAUUGGUCAUAAAGCAAACCAGCCUCCUCACCUAAAA